CCUACGGGGGGCAGCAGUGAGGAAUAUUGGUCAAUGGACGAGAGUCUGAACCAGCCAAGUAGCGUGAAGGAUGACUGCCCUAUGGGUUGUAAACUUCUUUUAUAUGGGAAUAAAACGUUCCACGUGUGGGAUUUUGUAUGUACCAUAUGAAUAAGGAUCGGCUAACUCCGUGCCAGCAGCCGCGGUAAUACGGAGGAUCCGAGCUUUAUCCGGAUUUAUUGGGUUUAAAGGGAGCGUAGGUGGAUUGUUAAGUCAGUUGUGAAAGUUUGCGGAUCAACCGUAAAAUUGCAGUUGAAACUGGCAGUCUUGAGUACAGUAGAGGUGGGCGGAAUUCGUGGUGUAGCGGUGAAAUGCUUAGAUAUCACGAAGAACUCCGAUUGCGAAGGCAGUUCACUGGACUGCAACUGACACUGAGGCUCGAAAGUGUGGGUAUCAAACAGGAUUAGAUACCCGGGUAGUC
RNAcentral lists this ribosomal RNA (460 nucleotides) under uncultured bacterium. Its description in RNAcentral is "partial 16S ribosomal RNA". It matches the Rfam family "Bacterial small subunit ribosomal RNA", at positions 338 to 795 of the family's 1533-position model. The record is from RNAcentral.